RNAcentral lists this ribosomal RNA (497 nucleotides) under uncultured bacterium. RNAcentral's name for it is "partial 16S ribosomal RNA". It matches the Rfam family "Bacterial small subunit ribosomal RNA", at positions 28 to 507 of the family's 1533-position model. The record is from RNAcentral.
GAUGAACGCUGGCGGCGUGCCUAAUACAUGCAAGUCGAGCGAACGGACGAGAAGCUUGCUCUUCUGAUGUUAGCGGCGGACGGGUGAGUAACACGUGGAUAACCUACUUAUAAGACUGGGAUAACUUCGGGAAACCGGUGCUAAUACUGGCUAAUAUUUUGAACCGCAUGGUUCAAAAGUUAAAGACGGUUUUGCCGUCACUUAUAGAUGGAUCCGCGCUGCAUUAGCUAGUUGGUAAGGUAACGGCUUACCAAGGCAACGAUGCGUAGCUGACCUGAGAGGGUGAUCGGCCACACUGGAACUGAGACACGGUCCAGACUCCUACGGGAGGCAGCAGUGGGGAAUCUUCCGCAAUGGGCGAAAGCCUGACGCAGCAACGCCGCGUGAGUGAUGAAGGUCUUCGGAUCGUAAAACUCUGUUAUUGGGGAAGAACAUAUGUGUAAGUAACUGUGCCCAUCUUGACGGUACCUAAACAGAAAGCCACGGCUAACUACGUG